CGAACGGGUGAGUAACACGUGGGUAACCUGCCCCGAUGACCGGGACAACCCGAGGAAACUCGGGCUAAUACCGGAUGUGUACCCAGGCCAUCAGGUUUGGGUGGAAAGGAAGCUUCGGCCUCCGCAUUGGGAUGGGCCCGCGGCCCAUUAGCUUGUUGGUGAGGUAACGGCUCACCAAGGCUGCGAUGGGUAGCUGGUCUGAGAGGACGAUCAGCCACACUGGGACUGAGACACGGCCCAG
Molecule: ribosomal RNA, 241 nt
Filed under: uncultured bacterium
Lineage: Bacteria
Description: partial 16S ribosomal RNA
Rfam family: Bacterial small subunit ribosomal RNA
Source: RNAcentral